CCUACGGGUGGCAGCAGUGGGGAAUAUUGGACAAUGGGGGGAACCCUGAUCCAGCCAUGCCGCGUGUGUGAAGAAGGCCCUCGGGUUGUAAAGCACUUUCAGUGAGGAAGAACGCCUGGUGGUUAAUACCCAUCAGGAAAGACAUCACUCACAGAAGAAGCACCGGCUAACUCCGUGCCAGCAGCCGCGGUAAUACGGAGGGUGCGAGCGUUAAUCGGAAUUACUGGGCGUAAAGCGCGCGUAGGUGUCUUGAUAAGCCGGUUGUGAAAGCCCCGGGCUCAACCUGGGAACGGCAUCCGGAACUGUCAAGCUAGAGUGCAGGAGAGGAAGGUAGAAUUCCCGGUGUAGCGGUGAAAUGCGUAGAGAUCGGGAGGAAUACCAGUGGCGAAGGCGGCCUUCUGGACUGACACUGACACUGAGGUGCGAAAGCGUGGGUAGCAAACAGGAUUAGAUACCCCAGUAGUC
RNAcentral lists this ribosomal RNA (465 nucleotides) under Vreelandella stevensii. Its description in RNAcentral is "partial 16S ribosomal RNA". It matches the Rfam family "Bacterial small subunit ribosomal RNA", at positions 338 to 795 of the family's 1533-position model. The record is from RNAcentral. Lineage: Bacteria; Pseudomonadati; Pseudomonadota; Gammaproteobacteria; Oceanospirillales; Halomonadaceae.